GCUUCUCUGAAUCUGCCCACUAUCUGGGUUUCCCACUCCCUGCCCACCACUCUCCAUUCUGGGGACCACCGCCCGAGUGCCUCCCCUCCCCCGCUGCGCUGGGCUGCCCUUGGGUGGGUCUCGGUCUCUCUCUCUCUCUCUCUCUCUCUCUCUCUCUCUCCUGGCUAGAAGUGCUCCGGCUAUCGCUCAGACUUAAGGGGCUGCCUGGAGGUGAUGAAUAAUGCCCCCUGCCACCUGCUACCCAGCUCAGCACCCCAUUCCCGCCAGCUGGCCACAUCGGGCUGAGAUUCUGACACCCUGGCAGACAGUGAGGUUGGGGGUGACCUGGUGCUUCCCCUCAGCCCUUAAGGACAGAUGUCCGCGAGGUGGAGGGUGGCCCCCGUCGCUGGCACUUCUGGGAGGCGCCCAGCGGACCGGGCGCCCUGGGUGGGCGGCUCCCUCGCGCACUGGGUUGAGCCAGGACGGCUGCUGCCUCAGACCAGCGCCACGGCCAAGGUCCAGCUGGCGGGGCGGGCUUCGUCGCCCUGAGAGGAUGCUCUCUAGACUUGAGAGAGAAGGGAAAGACAAGGACCCGAGGAAAGAAACCGUCAGGAUUUUGUGUGUCUGUGCGUCUGUAAUUUAAUGGAGGCAACCAGUUCUCGGGAAGACUGGGUGAGCCGAGGCAACGCGCACGGGAGCGCACAAGUCAAAACGGGGCCAACUAAGGCGUGUCUGGGAGUCCUGGGGACUGCCACCUGGUUAACACCAACCAGGACACAAAACAGCCACCCGGGUGGGGAGAGAUGUUCACCUUGCUUAUCUGUUGGCAAGAAGCAAAUACAAAAGAUAAGAUAACGUGAUGUCUCUUACAACGGUGGCUCUUUCAUUAGCCAAUUUCACCUUUCCGCAACAGGAGUGCGAACCUUUGGAACUUUCAUUUGCGGCAUUUUGGCGCCCCCUGGCCGUGUUUGGAUUGCUCUCGUGUUCGCCUGUAUCCCAGCAAAGAAAAGGACUGAGUUGCAGGUUUCCCUCGCGGGUGGAUCUGCCCUCCUGACCUGGGCCUCCAUUCGAUCAGGGGCAAGGUUGUCCUCCAAAAUCGGGAAGACAAAACGCAUAUUGAGGGGGACCGACGCCAAAGGCAAGUGUAUCCGCAUUCAACCUGGAAAAGAUACAGAUGUGUUCGCACCCAGAGGAAAGACCAGGUGAAGAGACAGUGAAAAGGUGGACUUCUACUAGCCAAGGAGAGACACUUCAGAAGAAAGCAAACCUGCCAACAUCUUAAUCUUGGAGUUCCAGCCUCUAGAACUGUGCCAAUCUCAAAAACACGCCCUAAUAAACAUCCUUCAUUUAAUCUCCAUCGCAGAGUCUGAAAAGGUAACACUCCAGGAAUCAGAUCUGACAGUGCAACAUUGGUUUAUAGGAAAUGUGCCAUUUGCCAGGUAUUGAACGGGGGAGGGGAAAGAGCUUAUGCUAAGUCAUAUGGACUGGGAAUUGAAUCCUCACCUUAUAUUUCCUCAGGGGAAGUUUAUAAAACUCUUUGACUACAGAACUAUUUUGUGCUUGGUAUUUCUCUUAGAGCUCAAGGUAGGAUAA
Long non-coding RNA from Myotis brandtii (Brandt's bat), 1572 nucleotides. RefSeq lists it as uncharacterized. The transcript has 3 exons. NCBI's taxonomy places the organism in Eukaryota, Metazoa, Chordata, Mammalia, Chiroptera, Vespertilionidae. The record is from RefSeq and is a predicted model, not a curated record.